GACGCUCUGGCCGAGUGGUUAAGGCGUUGGACUGCUAAUCCAAUGGGGUUUCCCCGCGUGAGUUCGAAUCUCACGGGCGUCG
This 82-nucleotide transfer RNA is filed under the name Globodera rostochiensis. It matches the Rfam family "tRNA". From Rfam's summary of the family: Transfer RNA (tRNA) molecules are approximately 80 nucleotides in length. Their secondary structure includes four short double-helical elements and three loops (D, anti-codon, and T loops). The record is from Rfam by way of RNAcentral. Lineage: Eukaryota; Metazoa; Nematoda; Chromadorea; Rhabditida; Heteroderidae.